AUCGCUUCUCGCCUUUUGGCUAAGAUCAAGUGUAGUAUCUGUUCUUAUCAGUUUAAUAUCUGAUACGUCCCCCAUCGGGGGACUACAUAUUAAAUGGAUUUUUCGAACAGGAGUCGGAAAUGGGGCUUGCUCCGUCCGCUCCACGCAUCGACCCGGUAUUGCAGUACCUCCGGGAACGGUGCAACACUU
This 189-nucleotide small nuclear RNA is filed under the name Oncorhynchus mykiss (rainbow trout). RNAcentral describes it as "U2 spliceosomal RNA (ENSOMYG00000048932.1)". It matches the Rfam family "U2 spliceosomal RNA". From Rfam's summary of the family: U2 is a small nuclear RNA (snRNA) component of the spliceosome (involved in pre-mRNA splicing). Complementary binding between U2 snRNA (in an area lying towards the 5' end but 3' to hairpin I) and the branchpoint sequence (BPS) of the intron results the bulging out of an unpaired adenosine, on the BPS, which initiates a nucleophilic attack at the intronic 5' splice site, thus starting the first of two transesterification reactions that mediate splicing. Lineage: Eukaryota; Metazoa; Chordata; Actinopteri; Salmoniformes; Salmonidae. The record is from RNAcentral.